GUCAUUUCCCUAUUCGAUAUUAGAGAAUGAUGGCUUUACAUUCCUCAUAGAAAAGAUCUCCCACAAAGAUUAUCAAAGCAAUCAGUGAGCAAUUUUUUAUUUUGUGCAGAUGAUGGUGGCAAGUUCCCAUUUAGAUUUUUCUAAGCUCAUUACCAACUCUGCACUCCAUUAUCUCCAUCUCUUUUCUGUUUAUAAAUAAUCAAAAGAAUUCCUCAGAAAAAAUGGCAGCUUAAUUAGCCAUAUCUUUUGGACUCCAUGGCCAAAACAAUCCUAUUAAUUUCACUUGUAUUCUUGGUUACGAUGACAGACUUUUCCCAUGCUGUCAAUAGAAAAAUGAUGACAGUUGAAGGGAAGGCCGCCUUUGACAUGGCAGCGGAGGUAAGGAUCUCAGCCUACAAUGAAAAGAUCGAUAUAAAUAACCACCAUAGUAUUCCAAGGGAUUCAUGGGAUAAUGACCAAGAUCCUGAUGCACCGGCAGNNNNN
This 483-nucleotide long non-coding RNA is filed under the name Olea europaea (common olive). RNAcentral describes it as "long non-coding RNA (OEUR_LNC007598)". Lineage: Eukaryota; Viridiplantae; Streptophyta; Magnoliopsida; Lamiales; Oleaceae. The record is from RNAcentral.